RNAcentral lists this non-coding RNA (159 nucleotides) under Glossina morsitans morsitans. RNAcentral's name for it is "eukaryotic large subunit ribosomal RNA". It matches the Rfam family "Eukaryotic large subunit ribosomal RNA", at positions 2825 to 2984 of the family's 3401-position model. Lineage: Eukaryota; Metazoa; Arthropoda; Insecta; Diptera; Glossinidae. The record is from RNAcentral.
GAUAAUUGGCUUGUGGCGGCCAAGCGUUCAUAGCGGCACAGCUUUUUGAUCCUUUGAUAUCGGUUCUUGCUAUCAUUGUGAAGCACGAUAAACCAAGCGUUGGACUAUUCACUCAUACAAGUGAACAUGAGCUGGGUUUAGACCGUCGCGAAACAGAUU